This 361-nucleotide transfer-messenger RNA is filed under the name Gemmatimonadaceae. Its description in RNAcentral is "UBA4720 sp003221805 Standard tmRNA". It matches the Rfam family "transfer-messenger RNA". Rfam says of the family: Bacterial tmRNA, also known as 10Sa RNA or SsrA, is named for its dual tRNA and mRNA-like properties. Its role is to liberate the mRNA from a stalled ribosome. To accomplish this part of the tmRNA is used as a reading frame that ends in a translation stop signal. RNAcentral also lists the same sequence under 1 other name. The record is from RNAcentral. Lineage: Bacteria; Pseudomonadati; Gemmatimonadota; Gemmatimonadia; Gemmatimonadales.
GGGGGCGACUGGCUUCGACGGGGUUAGUGAAGCUGUGGCCGCGUGCCCAGGUCUCUCGGAUCCUGGUAAAACCUCUGGGAAAAUUUUCAAACGCCAACAACAACUUGGCCCUGGCUGCGUAACUCUUAGGAGUUACUGCACCUGCUCUUAGAGAAGCCCUCCUGAGGCGGCUUUAAGGGUAUCGAAAAUUCGGGAUAGUCGGCUGCUGCGUCUUCCGGUAGUCGGCGAAACUCUAGAAGACUUGUCCAGAAGUGGGCUGUCCACUGGCCAGCGGCUGGAGACCUCAAUCGGUGGAAUACGCACGUAGACGCUGUGGUCGAUCUUCUCUCGGACCGGGGUUCGAAUCCCCGCGCCUCCACUU